GGCGGACGGGUGAGUAACGCGUAACCAACCUGCCCUCGAGACUGGAAUAGCCACUGGAAACGGUGGGUAAUGCCAGAUGGCCCCGCCGGCUGGGAAUCCAGCUGCGGGUAAACGGUGGCGCAAGCUGCUGCUCGGGGAGGGGGUUGCGUCCUAUCAGCUAGUUGGUGAGGUAACGGCUCACCAAGGCGAUGACGGGUAGCUGGUCUGAGAGGACGACCAGCCACACUGGGACUGAGAUACUGCCCAGACUCCUACGGGAGGCUGCAGUCGAGAAUCUUCCGCAAUGGGCGAAAGCCUGACGGAGCGACACCGCGUGCAGGACGAAGGCCCUCGGGUUGUAAACUGCUGUCACGCUCUAGGAAUGCGACGCCGGAAAUACCGGCGGCGUUGACCAAAGCGAGAGGAAGUGGCGGCUAACUCUGUGCCAGCAGCCGCGGUAAGACAGAGGCCACAAACGUUGUUCGGAAUCACUGGGCAUAAAGCGCACGUA
Molecule: ribosomal RNA, 490 nt
Filed under: uncultured bacterium
Lineage: Bacteria
Description: bacterial SSU rRNA
Rfam family: Bacterial small subunit ribosomal RNA
Source: RNAcentral